This 77-nucleotide transfer RNA is filed under the name Lysobacter defluvii IMMIB APB-9 = DSM 18482. Its description in RNAcentral is "tRNA-Pro". It matches the Rfam family "tRNA". From Rfam's summary of the family: Transfer RNA (tRNA) molecules are approximately 80 nucleotides in length. The record is from RNAcentral. RNAcentral also lists the same sequence under 14 other names. Lineage: Bacteria; Pseudomonadati; Pseudomonadota; Gammaproteobacteria; Lysobacterales; Lysobacteraceae.
CGGGGUGUAGCGCAGCCUGGUAGCGCACCUGUCUGGGGGACAGGUGGUCGUCGGUUCGAAUCCGGCCACCCCGACCA